This 491-nucleotide ribosomal RNA is filed under the name uncultured bacterium. Its description in RNAcentral is "bacterial SSU rRNA". It matches the Rfam family "Bacterial small subunit ribosomal RNA", at positions 33 to 518 of the family's 1533-position model. The record is from RNAcentral.
AGGACGACGCUGGCGGCGUGCCUAACACAUGCAGGUCGAGCGGAGUUGACAAGAGGAAGUUUCGGAUGGAAUUUGUAAUUAGCGGCGGACGGGUGAGUAACGCGUGAGCGACCAACCUUGCACAGGGGGAUAACGGACCGAAAGGUUCACUAAUACCGCAUGAGACCACGGUGUUGCAUGACACAGGGGUCAAAGGAGUAAUCCGGUGCAAGACGGGCUCGCGUCCGAUUAGGUAGUUGGAGGGGUAACGGCCCACCAAGCCUAUGAUCGGUAGCCGACCUGAGAGGGUGAUCGGCCACAUUGGAACUGAGAUACGGUCCAAACUCCUACGGGAGGCAGCAGUGGGGAAUAUUGGGCAAUGGGGGGAAACCCUGACCCAGCAACGCCGCGUGAAGGAAGAAGGUUUUCGGAUUGUAAACUUCUGUCCUUGGUGAAGAGAAGAAGACGGUAGCCAAGGAGGAAGCCCCGGCUAACUACGUGCCAGCCGCCGC